Molecule: ribosomal RNA, 492 nt
Filed under: uncultured bacterium
Lineage: Bacteria
Description: partial 16S ribosomal RNA
Rfam family: Bacterial small subunit ribosomal RNA
Source: RNAcentral
GAUGAACGCUAGCUACAGGCUUAACACAUGCAAGUCGAGGGGAAACGACAUCGAAAGCUUGCUUUUGAUGGGCGUCGACCGGCGCACGGGUGAGUAACGCGUAUCCAACCUGCCCACCACUUGGGGAUAACCUUGCGAAAGUAAGACUAAUACCCAAUGAUAUCUCUAGAAGACAUCUGAAAGAGAUUAAAGAUUUAUCGGUGAUGGAUGGGGAUGCGUCUGAUUAGCUUGUUGGCGGGGUAACGGCCCACCAAGGCAACGAUCAGUAGGGGUUCUGAGAGGAAGGUCCCCCACAUUGGAACUGAGACACGGUCCAAACUCCUACGGGAGGCAGCAGUGAGGAAUAUUGAUCAAUGGACGAGAGUCUGAACCAGCCAAGUAGCGUGCAGGAAGACGGCCCUAUGGGUUGUAAACUGCUUUUAUAAGGGAAUAAAGUGAGUCUCGGGAGACUUUUUGCAUGUACCUUAUGAAUAAGGACCGGCUAAUUCCGUG